This 72-nucleotide transfer RNA is filed under the name Pangasianodon gigas (Mekong giant catfish). RNAcentral describes it as "tRNA-Glu". It matches the Rfam family "tRNA". From Rfam's summary of the family: Transfer RNA (tRNA) molecules are approximately 80 nucleotides in length. The record is from RNAcentral. Lineage: Eukaryota; Metazoa; Chordata; Actinopteri; Siluriformes; Pangasiidae.
UCCCUGGAGGACUAGUGGUUAGGCCACAUCGCUCUCACCGCUGCAGCCUGGGUUUGAUUCCCAGCCAGGGAA